UACUGGGCGUAAGCGCACGCAGCGCGGUCUGUCAAGUCGGAUGUGAAAUCCCCGGGCUCAACCUGGGAACUGCAUUCGAAACUGGCAGGCUAGAGUCUUGUAGAGGGGGGUAGAAUUCCAGGUGUAGCGGUGAAAUGCGUAGAGAUCUGGAGGAAUACCGGUGGCGAAGGCGGCCCCCUGGACAAAGACUGACGCUCAGGUGCGAAAGCGUGGGGAGCAAACAGGAUUAGAUACCCUGGUAGUCCACGCCGUAAACGAUGUCGACUUGGAGGUUGUGCCCUUGAGGCGUGGCUUCCGGAGCUAACGCGUUAAGUCGACCGCCUGGGGAGUACGGCCGCAAGGUUAAAACUCAAAUGAAUUGACGGGGGCCCGCACAAGCGGUGGAGCAUGUGGUUUAAUUCGAUGCAACGCGAAGAACCUUACCUACUCUUGACAUCCAGAGAACUUUGCAGAGAUGGAUUGGUGCCUUCGGGAACUCUGAGACAGGUGCUGCAUGGCUGUCGUCAGCUCGUGUUGUGAAAUGUUGGGUUACGUCCCGCAACGAGCGCAACCCUUAUCCUUUGUUGCCA
RNAcentral lists this ribosomal RNA (569 nucleotides) under Enterobacter hormaechei. RNAcentral's name for it is "bacterial SSU rRNA". It matches the Rfam family "Bacterial small subunit ribosomal RNA", at positions 552 to 1120 of the family's 1533-position model. The record is from RNAcentral. Lineage: Bacteria; Pseudomonadati; Pseudomonadota; Gammaproteobacteria; Enterobacterales; Enterobacteriaceae.